RNAcentral lists this microRNA precursor (78 nucleotides) under Schistosoma haematobium. RNAcentral describes it as "mir-3492 microRNA precursor family". It matches the Rfam family "mir-3492 microRNA precursor family". The record is from Rfam by way of RNAcentral. Lineage: Eukaryota; Metazoa; Platyhelminthes; Trematoda; Strigeidida; Schistosomatidae.
AGCCUUCCGUAUCCGUGCUGAGGUUUCGUCACAUACCAGACCACAAGGGUUGGUGCGACUUCCAAGAUGAGUGAAGCG